RNAcentral lists this long non-coding RNA (10785 nucleotides) under Gallus gallus (chicken). RNAcentral describes it as "lncRNA (ENSGALG00010010181.1)". Lineage: Eukaryota; Metazoa; Chordata; Aves; Galliformes; Phasianidae. The record is from RNAcentral.
CGGGGACGGGGUGAGGAGCAGCGCGCGCGCGAGGUGUAAGGGGGGGGGCGGGGAUUGGUUGCCAUGGCAGUGACGUCAAAGAGUGCCGGGGACAGGGAGCGGAGACACGGAAAAGUGCUGGAGUGGGGUUCUGUGCUUUACGUGCCCCAGGGCAUGGCUCAAUCUAGCAAACCCUGGAGUGAAGCUGCUAUCAGCGUGUGGAGACUGAGUGCCACCGACAGCCUGUUGUCUGUUCGUGCUCAGAGAGUUAUGUGGAAGGACAGGAGUGACUCAGUAAUAGGAAGUAUUAGUUGCACUGAGGCAAAACCAGGUGAAGUUAUUACUUGGUUACUCUGUUACCUUGGGUCAUUGUUUUGCAUCAGUCCACUGUUUGCUUAUGAAUCAGAAAUAGUAGUGCUUUCCAAAAACAUACUGUGAAUAAACACUAAUGAGCUCAAAAUGCUUAUCAGCUGUAGUAAUAACAGGUAGAUGUGUUGUUUCUCUAUAGUGGCAUAGACAGUGCAGCCAGGAUUGUUUUGCUUGCAAGCUCUUCCUGUGGCAGUAACUUUGCACAGAAGUAGACUUUUGCUUCAAAAGACAUUUUAUAACUCAUGAUACUGUGUGAUAUGCAAUGUUAGAAACAUAGAAUCAUGGAAUGACUUAGGUUGGAAGGGACUUUAAGGGUUAUUGAAUUCCAACCCCCUCCUGCGGGCUGUGUUAAGUCAUAUUUCGUAUUUUUAUGCAGAAAGUUCUCUAAUACGCUUUUAAAUAACCGCCAUUCCACAGUGCAAAUAGUUUGGGGUUUUUUCUCCUGUGUUCUUAAAACAGCACCAGUACUGCUAAGGAAGCAGUGUCUGGUUGUCUCUGGGUGAGGUGAUAGACUGAGGCUUUUGAUAUGGAGUUGGAAGAGAGAAGUUCCAGUAUAUCUGCUCACAUCUUGGCGUGAUCAAGAAAUUACUUGGAACUGGUUUGUAACUCACUGUGCCACCACACAGCUAUACUUGCCAGGGUUGAGUAGUAUUGUUUACGAGGUGCUGUCUGGAGAUGCCUCUGUAUUUGCAAGAAAAUACUGAAGCAGGUGACAGUAAGUUCAUUACAACGAGCUGAGCAGUUUAGGAAACAGCAUUUUUAUUCUCACAUUAUAAGGUGAUCUACAUAGAAAAUCAAAUGCCUUAAGUAUGCCACUGGCAAGCACUUCAAUAGAGGAAUCUGAAAACUCCAUAGGAGUUGCCCGGAGUGGUUUGUGCCGCUCUCAAGAGCAGUGCUGCCACCACCAUAGCAGGUGAGCUGGAGCUGCUGCUCUCAGGAGUACUGAGCAGAGUUGGCUGAGUUUUCCUCUGCACUUUUGCUUUAUGCAAAUCAGAGCAGGUAGCUCGCUUGUCUGGUGUUCUUUGAGUUUGUUUUUGUUUAUUUUUUUGUUUUUCUGAUCUAUUCUAGAAAGAUACACCACAAAGAAGCACCAACUGCCUGGUAUCUUUAAGCUUUGCUUCUGAGAGUAUUUUGUUCUGUAGUUUAUCACUUGCCUGCUCAAGUUUGUUUGGAACUUCCAUACUGCUAAAUAGGACAACUGUUCUGUGUGAGGAGGAGGUGAGCACAACAGAAGACUUUUGUCUUCGGUUUUAACAACAAAACUGAAAGUUGCUCUGGCAAAAUGGCAAUUCAUUGUUAAUUCAUGAGAUGUAGGUGCUCUGGAAAAAUCAAAUACCAGUUUCAUAGCUACCCUUAGGCAUCUCUAAUUUAUGCAAGCAGGGCUUGCCAAGUAACUACUGAGUCUCACUGACCUUAGUAGGUUUGCAGAGGUCAUAUUUUAACACAGAUAAGUUAUGCUUGAACUAUUUUCUCAGUAGGUAUUAGGAGCAAGUGUUUGUGUACACAAUUACAUGCUUUUUGCCAAUCCUCCAUUACAUUUUCUGUUUUUCUUUAGAUUCUUGCUUGUAAGUUCUACAGUAAAUCCUAGAGUUUUUUUUUGUGUUUUUUCUUAAUCUGUUAUCUUAAGUAAGAAACGUGAGUUUUUGAGGACAGCUUCUUUUUUGGGGUCUCAGUAAAACAGAACAAACAAAGGUUUCAUAGACCGCCAGAAAGGCAGUUGUAGGAUCAGGGAAAGUCGGGGUAUGGGAAGCCAGAACAGCCCAAACGUGUGAGUGACAUCAGCAUUUUUCUGAGCCGUUUAUGCUGCUCACUUCUGUCGGUUCCCAGCAGUGCCUGUGUCUUAUGUAAGCUCGCACUGUACAUCCUGUCCUGCUGUUCUCAUGCAUGAAAAUCAUUGGUGUUAUCUUACUGUACGUUUUGAGAGCUGAGCAGUUACUGGCUACUUGUUGUCUCAAAUGUCUGCAUGCAAAUCUCUCACAAGCAUGCUGGAGAGAGCUAUGCCAAGAGCAUGGUGCUGUCCUCCUAGGAGACAUCAGAGGGGUAAGUUGUAGUAAACGCCGCUCGCUCGUCCUUUGCUCUUUCUGGUAAUAGGCACUAUGAAGUAAUGCAGCUACAGAGGUAAUUGUGCUGCUACAGUCUGAAGUGCUGAUCUGUGUCACGUGCAGAUGGACCACUAAUGCAGUUUCAAUGGCUGGUGAUAAAACAGACAUGGAAAACAAAGGACAGUGGUUUCAACAGAAGCUUUAAUGAUGUUAGGACUGGAAAAGAGAGGCUUUUAUAUACUCUUACUGUGCACUGCUUGUUACGGGUCUUGGAAAGAAACUGUGCCUUCAGAUGGACUGAUGCUUUACCCUUGUUCCUGUAGUUAGCAUUUAGUGAUGCAUAAUGAAGGUACUGUCACUCAAUGGGUGAAAUUGGAGCAAACCUUCCAUUACAAGGCUUCAGAAACAAACAUUCCCUCUAUUUUUUUUCUUGCUAAAUCUAUCUGAAAUCGUCAGGCGUAAAAUCCUGCAGUAAUGUGAUCUGUUAAUGCAAAGUAAGUAACUUGGCCACCUUGUUUAAACGCUACCCAGUGCUUCAGUUACGAAGCAAAACUACCUCUGCUUCUUAAAUACUCUUGUCUCUUCUGUUUGUGCUCCUGCAGUAUGAAGGAGACAAGUUUCUGCUCCUCUGCUCUGGUGAAUGCGAUUGUGUGGCACUGUGGCUUGUUUUGGGGGAGCUGUGUUUGAAGGGCUGUAGAGUUUGUUACAAGCUCUGAUAGGAAAGGCUGACUGGCAGGAGAAGUGCACCUGGGUAGGAGUGCGUUUGUGGAAAGGCCUUGGAAGGAAUGAAAGAAUCUUUCUUGUGGCUUCCCAGUGUGAUCCGUUCCAUGCCGCACGAAACAAUUCCUCAUUGUGCUGGAGUGUAAGACUUAACAAGGAAACUGGCCAUCUGAAGAGGAACAGGUGCAAUGCCCUGACGCUUAGAAGCUAACCAGAUUCCUGAGUGAGCAGAUCUUGCAGAAUUUAAGGAAACUUAUUGGCAGAACAUCUAAGAAGGACUUGAAUUUUUGUUUUGAGUAGGGAAUUGAAUGAUCUCUGCUGCCUUUCACACAAAUCUAGGAAUGCAGUGGCUCUAUUUAGUGCUUUUGUUAUUUUCUUGAAGAUAUAGAAAUAUGUUUCAAAAGCAUAUGCAGGAAGAUGGAGUUGCAGCAGCCAUAAGAACUUGUAAGAAAGCACCUGCACGUUGUGCAUUUGGGAUUCCGUGGCAUUAUAUUUUAUUGCUUUACAGAUGCUUACGUGACUAUCAGAAUCCACAUCUAUGUUGUCCAUAUUCAAUAGCCUUUUCAUUUUGUUGAUGUGGACAGAAUCUAUUCAGGAUGCUUAAAUCUGCUAAAAUAUUUAUAAGAAAGUUGGCCCUUGGAGCAUGUUUCCCACAGGAUGCAGUGGGUGUCGGGGCUAAAGGUCAGUGCAGACGAAGUAAAGUGAAAGCUCUUUUGCAUUUAUUUUCCUACUUUUUUUUCUUAAUUUUCUUUUGAAAGAGAAUUCUCUGUGUUAAGAAGCACAGAACUUUCCUUUGCUACUUCCUACGUUUCCAUACACUAAGAAGCAGGAAUGGACCUGUAAAUACUUAAGCCUUUUAUUGAAACUUUGCUCCCUUUCUUUAGGAGAGCGGGGAAAAAAAAUGAAACCAACAACCCCAAAUCAGUGCAGUUAAUGUAGUCAUGGGCUCUGAGCAUGGAAGUUCCCGGUGUAAAGGAAAAAAGCCAGAUGGAGUUUUAAGUGACUGUCAUGUACCACUUAAGAAACGCACAUUCCUGAUACUAAUAAAAGGGCCAGAUUGGAGCUACAUAAUUAAUCCCAGUGUCCUUUUCAGCACAUGAUAAGAUUUGGCUACAGCAGUCAUAGAGCUAAUGGAGACAACUGUCAGGUUCUACAAAGCAGUGGAUUGUUUGCCUAAAAUAAAAAUACCUAUGUGAUUAUUCUUGUACAUAUAUUUGUAUCUGCUGGUGAUUAGUACUUAUGUCCCAGUUCAAAUGGAAGAUAAAUGGAGCUGAUUUGCUUUUGAAUCCCCUUACUGCCUUAAGUAUCUGUAUAAAUAUAUACACCAGAUAUGUCUGUAAAUAAAUUAUUCCUAUUCAAUAUAUAUUUAAGAUGGGAAGUAAAUGUUUUUUAUUAUUUUCUUUAGGAGUUAGGUGGCAAAACUUGCUCUCCUUUGGAGUCCAUUUGAAAUAUAGUGACUGAUGAAGGCCAAGGAGCAAUUCUGCAAUUGUUUAUUCACUGUAUGUGUCCAUGACCUGGAAGAAGCGUGCAGGAAUGGGCUAAAGCAGAGAUGCUUCUGAGAUGGCACAAAGUGUGUGUUGGAGGCAGACAGGAGGAGUGGGCAGAUGGCAGUCAGAACAAAACAGGGAGUUCAAUAACUUGGGACAGCACUGAGCUGCUCUAUCUGGAGAACACCCUUCUAACCAUAAAGGGGAGCUGCUCUGUCUAAGAUUGAGUGUAAGACAUAAAUGAUCCUCCAAAGAAGCUUUUCUCAAAAAAAAAAAGAGCUUAUUUUCUGAAGACAACUUUGUCACUUGAACUAGAGAUGCUUCUUACCUUGACUGAAAAGGCAGACUAUGGGCACAAACUGGAAGACUCCUCAAGGUAAAACAGGAACAUGUCAUGUGGAGAUACCUGUAUCCUAUUUAAAAUGAUUUGUUUUAAUACUUUGUAGUAAAGUGUCUCCAGGACUCUACCCAUAGAUUAGCCAACCUGGUUUUGGUGCAGCUUUUUCCAGGGAAUAAGACUAAAAUUCCUUUCCUGUAGGAGAAACCAAAUUAGAGUUGAAUAGAGGAAGCUAUAAAAUCAGACCUAUUUACUGCAGGCAGCAAUAUUUGAGUUAAAUGUUAAACUCACUGAAUUAGUGUAAUCAACAUUUGACACCUCAGAAGAGGUAAUACUACUGUGGGAAUGAGGAAGGGCAUCAGCUAUUUGUGUGAUAUCAGACCUAAUAUGUAGCAUGUAUUCAUAUUUCUCCUUAAUUUGGAGAUCCAGGUAUUCAUCUUUCUCUUGUGGUCAGUGCAUGUUGCUGUAUCUCCUCUGCUGAAAAAGCAAAAAUUGCAGGGAAAAAAAAAUUCCAAAAAUAUAUGGCUAUACAUUAUACAGCAACAAUCUGUUAGAAGCCUAUUCUCAGAGAAGGCAAAAAUAUAGCUAAGGAUGCUAAUACUCUUCCUUCCUUUUUCUGUUCUGAUUGCAGGUAAGUCUACUGGUGGGGGUUUUUAUGAGGUGAGGGUAAUACAUUAUGACAAAUUGUUAGUGACAGAUGGAUUUUUUUUACUUAGCUUACUUCUAAAGCAAAAUGAUCUGGAUUAGCCACUUCCUGCCCCCCGAGGUGGCUGCACAACUUCUCAGGUUACCUAAAUUAAAGACUUAAUUUGACUCAGUAAGUUACUCUAUCAGGUUGAGAGCCAAGAAGGUGUUUUAUAAAUACAUGAUUUCUGCAUGCUGAGCAGUGUUGUUCAGUCAGAGGGAAGAGGAGAAUGGGGGGGGGGAGUCUUUAAUUGCUGCCUUCAGUUACCUAAUGGAUCAUGACAAGAAACCAGCUCUUUCUUGGUGUUGUGCAGCAAAAGGGUGAGAAGCACUGGGCACAAGAUGCAGCAAAGGAAAUUCCAGAUAGGUGUAAGGCAGAAGAAAAAAGUUAGACCUGUAGCUACACAGACGUGACUAGAUUGCUUGUAGAAGCUAUGAAAUAUCUUUGCUUGGGGAUGCUCAGAUUUUGAGCAGGGAGUUUGCUGUAGGUGAUUUCCAGAGAGCCUUCCAGAGGUCAUUUCCACUGUAAGAUGUUUUUGGUUUCCAUUUGGUGAUUAGUUCACGACUUUUCUUCACCGAGAAGGCUUAUCGUUCUGAGCUGUCUUUCUGAUCUUCGAUGGUAAUCACUUUUCAUGUCUCAUUUGUUAAAAUUAUGCUCACUAGAGUCAGAAAUGGUGUCUGUGGAGACAGUGCUUUUGUAAAGCAUGUAUUAACUGAAAGGUUCUGACUGCAUGUCUGUUUUACUGUAUUUGUCCAAGUAAAGACUUCCAAAAGUGAAACCAGCUUUGAAGGUUCUCUUACAGUGCUGUUUUUGGUGCUGUUUUUUCAACUUCAGUUAAUUUUAUGUAUUUACAGUUCACAGGACUAAUACUCAGCAGAAUAUUUUGGAGCAGAGUGAGCUAAGAAGUUGAAGACAGGUUGUAUUCUCUUUAAGAGAAAAAUUCUAGGGUGUGAACUUUGAUGCAGAUGUGCAACUUAAUGGUGUAUUCAAUUUCUGCCUACUGUUCCUUUGUUUUAAACUGCUUAUUUAAAAGCAUAAGAACACCCCUUCCUCUUUCUGUGUUUGACCCCCAGCAUUCUGCAUGCUCAGUAUACUCCAGCUAAUACUGAGAUUAUUUGGAUUGCAGGUGAAUGUCUGCUUUUUCAUGGGCUUUGGAGAAGGACAGUGAGCAGCCUUUGUAGUUGCUACUCCUGUAUAUUUUUGGGAAAUAAUGCAAGAAAUGAAUAGGGGCCAGUUUUGUCUUGCAUGCUGUGUCUGUUCUUGAGUUUGUUAGAUUGUAGUCAUUCUCUCUGAUGCAGUUCUAGAUUGAUGGUCAAUUAUUUUUACCUCGUAAACCUCCAUUCUUUGAAACGAGUGAAUCAUGGGCCAGAGUGUGUAGGACAGCUUUUUUCUUAUGCUUAGUCACAGGAGACUAAGCUUACAGUUUUAUUCUAACUUAGCUCCCCAAGAUAUGCAGAGCAACUGGGUGGAUGCUGUUCUUAAUUAUGAUCUGAACUUUAUUUUGGCUCGCACCAUCACUGUUUCAUUGUUUAUCUUCCUUUGGUAAGAUGAGAACAGUAUCUUAUGACAAAAACAUUUAGUUGUUUGGUUUUCUGUAAUGGUUAUGUAUGACAUUUGCAUCCUCACUGAAAUUUGGGCUUAGAUAUGUUAAUAGUGUACUGUUUUACACAUUCCCAUGCAUUCUUAAAAUAUGAGAUGCUUUUUUUGACAGCUCAAUUUAAAACUUUUUACUUCCUACACAGUGAAACUGUCAGUUUUAGUGUUUGCACAUAUGUAUAUAUUUAGUGUAUCCUUCUAGUAUUUGAAGAGAGCUUCUAAGCAGGAAGGGGAGUGACUUUUUACAUGGUCUGAUAGUGAUAGCUCAAGGGAGAAUGGCUUUAAACUAAAGGAGCGGAGAUUUAGGUUAGAUGUUGUGGAAAAAAAAUCCUUUCUCAGAGGAUGGUGAGGCACAGGAGCAGGAUGCCCACAGACAUUGUGGCUGCCCCAUCCUGGUGGUGUUCAAGGCUGAGUUGGAUGGGGCCCUGGGCAGCUUGAUCCAGUGAGUGGCAACCGUACGCGUGGCACAGAGUUGGAGCUUGGUUAUCUUUAAGGUUCCUUCCAAUGUAAGCCAUUCUGUGAUUAGUGAUUGUAAGAAGCAGAGCGUGUGGUUUCCUGAAAAUAUACAGGAAAUGCAGUUCUAAAACUACUUACAUAUGCUUCCUACUUCAUAAUUCAUUGUGCACUGUAAACUUCUAAUGCUAUAGCGAACUCUGUGGCUGUUAAAUGAUCAGACUGCCCUAUGUUAGGGCAGAUUGUAAUCUAUCUGAAUCACUGCGUGACAUUUAUGCUGUUGAAAUUGAAUUGGACUAUGUGAGAGCUGAAAGCUAUGGCACUUUAAAUUCAGCACUGAUUCAGACACUGUGUUUUACUCGGGGCAAAUAACUUAAUGUCUAAUACUCAGUUAUGUUCUGGUCAGUAGACGUGACUUAAAAUAAUUGGAGCAAUAGCAGGGAUCUGCUUUAACUUUCUUUUUCAGUUAGCUAUUUGUGCAUGAGAACUGAGACUUCUAAUUCACUGAGUAAUUGUAAUCAUGCUGAUCAUGGAAUGAGGAUAUCUUAAGAUAUGGGAAGAAAAUAAGCUCUGUGGGAAAUACAUAAGCUCUCUUUAGCUUCCUUGUUCCCCUGCAUCUUCCUUUCCCUUAUUGCUUUCCUUCUUCCCAUCUUGUUUAACUUUCUGAUCACAGUGCAGUCCAAGCUCAGUGUGACUGAUAAAAUAAUAUGUGGCACUUGGGAAAACUGCAGUACCUCUCUGUGACCUGUGUGGCUUGGGUUUGGAAACUGAAAGAGCACAAACUUCAGGUAUCACAGCAGUGCCCUUUUUGUUGGUGUUAAACCUCUUGGUGAAUCCCUUGUACUGACAGCUUAAGAGCCAGAUUGGUAAAUGUUGUGUGUCAGGAACAGUUUAUGUAGUUUAAAGAUUCACAUGGUUCUUCACAUUUUCUGUAUGAGGAAUUUGAAGGGGAAUUCACACUGCAAGAAAUGCUACAUUCAUUGUUGUUCUUCAGCAAAUACAGUUAACAGCAUUAAUGGAAGCCAGCAAUCAAUGUCCUUCUGUUUGCAGUGACGUUAGAAUAAGUCCUGGUUCUGUGCUUUUAAGCUUUAGCAGGGUUAGAGGACAGAACCUUUGACAAAAGCCGGAGUGUGGUGUCUUUUUGUAUUUGUUUGUAAGUGUUCAGGAGAAUAGCAGAAGAUGCUUAAUCUUCAGUUUUCAUAGAAGAACUUUUAUGGAAGUUCUAUCCUUCAAAAGCGUAGUUGCACGGAACUACACUGCAGAUAUAUUUUCUUAAUGUUUUUGGAUGGAGCUGAAAAUGUAACUCCUUUGUACAAACAUGAUCACACUGUUAGAUGUUGUGCUGGGGUUGGUAGCUGACAGUUUGAUAAAACAGCAAGAGACUUCACUGUCAUUUGUAUUGUUUUUUUUGUGAUGAUCUGAGUGUUAAAAUGAAGCUGGAGGGAGUGUCCUCUCUUUAGGCAGGUGACAUUGUGGUAACCUUCAUUACUUCCUUAAGAAGCAAGUGUUGAAGGAGAGCAGCACAAGAAAUGGUUCACUGCAGCAUAAUGCUUAGCAGCCUAAUUAGUCGAAUACCAUGUGCCUACCUCUGCAUGAAAUAACCCAUUUCUUCACAAGGUAAAAUAGGAAUUUUCAGUUUUGGAACAGCCUGAAGAGGCCUUUGUUGCAAAUGUCCGUUGGCUUUUUAACUAUUUAUUCUCAAAUAAUGAAGGUCAGCAUGGUAUCCAUAGAGACUGCAUGCAGCUUCCUCGUUAAUCUUGGCAAACUCCUGUAAUAACUACAUUCACUUAAUACUAACAAGUGUUCACAUUUCAUUAAUGGGAGAACAGUAUGGGAUUGACAUUCUGUAACUGAGAAAUCUUGAAUGUGUAGUUUUUCUUCUUUAAACUCUGUUAGAAUUUCCCUUUACGAGUUGCCUUGGAGGCCUGAACAGCCUCAGAACAAGCAACUUUUAAAUUGCAGGAGUCUGCGUAUUUCCUGGAAGCAGAAAACUUCUUACUGGCUAAGCCUUUUCUUUCUGAAAGGAUCAAGAAUGAUAAACAAGGAUAAAUGGGUCUGCUUUCAGCUCUGUUAGUAAAAGGAAAGUUUUCUGCUAUGAACUAGAAUAUAAAGGCAUUGAAGUAUUAUGUAAAUAUGAUCAAGCUAGAAUGAUAAGAUUUAAAAAAAUAACCUCAUGCAGACUCUCCACCUCUGCUUUUUUUCUUCCUUUUUCUUUAACCAAGAAUGGGAGAAUUUUUGUAUCACCAGAACACUGCUGAAGUCCUUUGUAUUUGACUGUCAGAUUACUUCUGUGCAGAAAAUUCUAAUCAGAGUGUUAAUAUGAAAUAACUGAGUGCUGUAUGCUUAAUAAUGACUUUGAUUUAAAUUAAAUUUUGUUCUUGAAUAGUAUUUUGUCAUUUAAAUACUUUUAAUAUUGAAAGGGUUCUUUUAACUGAGAAGAAAGAAAUAGACUGCAUCAGAACAGAAUGCAGUCUUGUGGGACUUCUGGUACUGAGUUGCUGAAGGGGGGGAAGUAAAAUGGUUCCAUCCAGAGGCUGUUAUUGUUUUAUUCCCACCCUGACACUUUUAAUGCUUACCCCAGGAUAUAUAUAUAUAGAGAGAGAGAGUAACAGAGCCUUAAACUGAUGCUGAGAAAUAUACAUAUUUUUUCAGAAUUCUGCCAGGUUUAUUUCUAAGAUUUCCUUCAUUAUGAGCUUGUUUUCCUAAAUUAUACAUUCUUAUUUAGAAACAUAAGUAACUGUGAAAGAGUAGAUAGUGUGGAUGCUUAGAAUGGAACUCCAUUUAUUUUUUUUGAGAGUUCUGGUAAUGAAGGUAUAGGAAAGUAAAAUGUAUGUAUGAAUGUAUUUGAACCUGAAGAGGUUUAAAAAUGUGCAUUUUAAAACUUGAGUACGUAUAUUCCCAUGUCUUGCAUUUAGAAACAUUAAAUUAUGUUAAAUCUACAAUUGUGGUGUUUUUGUAUCAAUGCUUGUUUUAAGUGAAACUGAAAAUGAGAUUUUCUUCAGAAUUAGUGGAAUGGUAAUUGAUUGGAAUGUCACAGAAAUGUCAUAAAUCUUUUUCUUUUCCCCCUCCCCUAAAGGUGACCGACUACUUUGUACUGCUGGACACCUGCAGUGAUGU